AGAGUGUGGUCGUGGCUCAGGAUUAACGCUGGCGGCAUGCCUAAUACAUGCAAGUCGAACGGAAAAUAUAGAAGUGCUUGCACAUUUAUAUUUUUAGUGGCGAACGGGUGAGUAAUAUAUAGAUAACCUACCUUCCAGUUGGGGAUAACAGAGGGAAACUUCUGCUAAUACCGAAUAUGAUAAAGAAACACAAGUAAUUUUAUUGAAAGGGGCUCCAAAGCCCCGCUAGAAGAGGGGUCUAUAUCGCAUUAGCUAGUUGGUAAGAUAACAGCCUACCAAGGCGAUGAUGCGUAGCUGUACUGAGAGGUAGAACAGCCACAUUGGGACUGAGAUACGGCCCAAACUCCUACGGGAGGCAGCAGUAGGGAAUUUUCGGCAAUGGGGGGAACCCUGACCGAGCAAUGCCGCGUGAUUGAAGACGGUCUUCGGACUGUAAAGAUCUGUUAUUAGGGAAGAAUUUUUACUUUAGGAAAUGGAAGUAAAUUGACGGUGCCUAAUGAGGAAGCCCCGGCUAACUAUGUGCCAGCAGCCGCGGUAAUACAUAGGGGGCAAGCGUUAUCCGGAAUUAUUGGGCGUAAAGGGUACGUAGGCGGGCUUGCAAGUCUGAUUUGAAAGCACAUGGCUUAACCAUGUGAGGUAAUUAGAAACUACGAGUCUAGAGAGUGGUAGAGGUAAAUGGAAUUCCAAGUGGAGCGGUGAAAUGCGUAGAGAUUUGGAGGAACACCAGUGGCGAAGGCGGUUUACUGGGCCACAUCUGACGCUGAUGUACGAAAGCGUGGGGAGCAAACAGGAUUAGAUACCCUGGUAGUCCACGCCGUAAACGGAUGAGUGCUGAGUAUCGGGGGAUUUCGGUGCUUUAGCUAACGCAGUAAGCACUCCGCCUUGGGGAGUACGGUCGCAAGACUGAAACUCAAAGGGAAAUUGACGGGGACUCGCUCAAGCGGGUGGAGCAUCCUGUUUAAUUCGAUGCAACGCGAAGAACCUUACCAGGUCUUGACAGUGUAAAGAAUACUUAAGAGAUUAAGGGCUACGAAUUAAGCUUGCUUGAUUUACUUUAUAAACAGGUGGUGCAUGGUUGUCGUCAGCUCGUGUCGUGAGAUGUUGGGUUAAGUCCCGCAACGAGCGCAACCCUUAUCACUAGUUGCCAUCAUUCAGUUGGGCACUCUAGUGAGACUGCCGGUGACAAAUCGGAUGAAGGUGGGGAGGACGUCAAAUCAUCAUGCCCCUUAUGCCCUGGGCUACACGCGUGCUACAAUGGCUAAUACAAAGAGUCGCAAAACCGUGAGGUAGAGCUAAUCUCAUAAAGUUAGUCUCAGUUCGGAUUGUAGUCUGCAACUCGACUACAUGAAGUCGGAAUCGCUAGUAAUCGUAAAUCAGAAUGUUACGGUGAAUACGUUCUCGAGUCUUGCACACACCGCCCGUCA
This 1424-nucleotide ribosomal RNA is filed under the name uncultured bacterium. RNAcentral describes it as "bacterial SSU rRNA". It matches the Rfam family "Bacterial small subunit ribosomal RNA". The record is from RNAcentral.